RNAcentral lists this unclassified non-coding RNA (925 nucleotides) under Homo sapiens (human). RNAcentral describes it as "VPS52 subunit of GARP complex (ENSG00000206286.11, ENSG00000225590.9, ENSG00000228425.9)". Lineage: Eukaryota; Metazoa; Chordata; Mammalia; Primates; Hominidae. The record is from RNAcentral.
GGGAACGAUUUCGCGCUGAGGAAGACCCUUUGGGACUUGUAGCUCCACUCCGGGGAACGGACUCGCCGGGACUGACAGUUGCCGGAAGCGGGUGGUCCUGGGCUCCAGGAACCACUGCAACUUGGGGAGUUGGAUAUCACUUCUGAUGAAUUCAUCCUGGAUGAAGUGGAUGUUCACAUUCAGGCAAAUCUGGAGGAUGAGUUAGUAAAGGAAGCUCUUAAAACGGGUGUAGAUCUCCGUCACUAUUCAAAGCAAGUUGAGCUGGAGCUACAGCAGAUUGAACAGAAAUCCAUUCGGGAUUAUAUUCAAGAGAGUGAGAAUAUAGCAUCUCUACACAACCAGAUCACAGCCUGUGAUGCUGUCCUGGAGCGAAUGGAGCAGAUGUUGGGAGCUUUUCAGAGUGACCUCAGCUCCAUCAGCUCUGAGAUCCGGACACUGCAGGAACAGUCAGGAGCCAUGAACAUUCGACUUCGAAAUCGCCAGGCAGUUCGGGGGAAACUUGGGGAGCUUGUUGAUGGUCUGGUGGUGCCUUCUGCUCUGGUCACGGCAAUUCUGGAGGCUCCAGUGACAGAGCCCAGGUUCUUGGAGCAGCUACAGGAGCUGGAUGCCAAGGCAGCCGCAGUCAGAGAGCAGGAAGCUAGAGGCACAGCAGCCUGCGCAGAUGUCAGAGGCGUGCUCGAUCGGCUCCGGGUCAAGGCAGUGACGAAGAUCCGAGAGUUUAUCCUCCAGAAGAUUUAUUCCUUCAGGAAACCCAUGACCAACUAUCAGAUCCCCCAGACGGCCCUGCUGAAGUACAGGUUCUUCUAUCAGUUUCUGCUGGGCAAUGAACGAGCAACAGCAAAGGAGAUCAGGGAUGAAUAUGUGGAGACGCUGAGCAAGAUUUACCUGUCUUACUACCGCUCUUACCUGGGGCGGCUCAUGAAGG